Molecule: transfer RNA, 85 nt
Filed under: Verrucomicrobiota bacterium
Lineage: Bacteria; Pseudomonadati; Verrucomicrobiota
Also listed under: 1 other name
Description: Verrucomicrobia bacterium tRNA-Ser
Rfam family: tRNA
About the family: Transfer RNA (tRNA) molecules are approximately 80 nucleotides in length. Their secondary structure includes four short double-helical elements and three loops (D, anti-codon, and T loops).
Source: RNAcentral
GGAGGGGUGGUCGAGUGGUUGAUGGCUCCGGUCUUGAAAACCGGCAGGGUGCAAGCCCUCGUGGGUUCGAAUCCCACCCCCUCCG